Galeopterus variegatus (Sunda flying lemur) is the source of this 74-nucleotide non-coding RNA. Lineage: Eukaryota; Metazoa; Chordata; Mammalia; Dermoptera; Cynocephalidae. The record is from the annotation of a RefSeq genome assembly.
GGCCAGUUAGCUCAGUCGGUUAGAGCUUGGUGCUGAUAACACCAAGGUCCGGGGUUCAAUCCCUGCACCGGCCA